GCUUGCGGCCACACCGCUUGGUUCACCGAUCUCGUUUGAUCUCGGAAGAUAAGAUAGGUUGGGCCUGGUUAGUACUUGGAUGGGAGAUCGCCUGGGAAUACCAGGUGCUGUAAACU
This 116-nucleotide ribosomal RNA is filed under the name Scophthalmus maximus (turbot). Lineage: Eukaryota; Metazoa; Chordata; Actinopteri; Pleuronectiformes; Scophthalmidae. The record is from RNAcentral.